Rhinichthys klamathensis goyatoka is the source of this 242-nucleotide long non-coding RNA. RefSeq lists it as uncharacterized. NCBI's taxonomy places the organism in Eukaryota, Metazoa, Chordata, Actinopteri, Cypriniformes, Leuciscidae. The transcript has 2 exons. The record is from RefSeq and is a predicted model, not a curated record.
AGUGUGUAAUUUACUCAAAUGCCUUUCCUUUCAUAUAUUUAAAAUGACUUGCAGAUUUAUAACUUUAUUAGCUCUGAGGACAUUAUGACUGUAAACAAAAGAUAUGUGCGGCUGAUGCUCCUUUGGUUAUGAACAGCUCGUGCAAGCGUGCGUGUGUGUCGUGCACACCUCUGGUUGCAGUUUCGCUUGUCGCCAGAGGGGGCGUAGUUCUGCAAAAACUCAGAGACUUGCGCAAUGCACCU